CACAUCCUGCAUAUGGAAAUUAAAACACUGACUGGGUUUUUUUAAUUUGCAUUUGGUCUGGUGUUUUAGGUCCCUCAUGAUAGACUGCCUCUCUGUUGUGUUAAAAUAUUGCAAAGGUGAUGGUUUUUGAAUGAUCCACCUCUCUAAGUGGCUGUAAUUUCAUUGCAAGUCCUCUGACAUCUUUUCUGGCUGAGAUUGGAAGAAAUCAGACCUAGAAAUUCAGAAUAAAGGAAUACACAAUUUCAUUCAGCUCCUUUUGGUGUUGGAACCAAACACAAGAGUCUAAUUAUUGAAAUAUUAUUAUUAAACAAUGUUUAAUAUUAUCCUCCUUUUUUCCAGCUGUAACUUGUGGUAAUUGGUCUCUGAAUGGAUUUUCUGUGGUGCUCAGAAUUUGACCCUUAAUGCCAGCAUUAGAUGGACAGUGGAAAGCUUGUAAAUUUUCAAGGUCUUCAGCCCUCUGUUGUCACAAGGUAAUGACUGGAAAGAAUACAAUGAAGGCCUUUAUCUUCACAUGAGAAUUAAAAGGCGAUCUAAUUGAAGUCAGCUUUGGUGAUCUACAGGGUGAAAUCUACAGUGAUUUUACAGGUAAACUUCAUUUCCCAGAAACUUCCAAGUCUAUCCAGGUCCUCAAAUAAAAAUUUUUCUUUUUCACA
This 653-nucleotide long non-coding RNA is filed under the name Junco hyemalis (dark-eyed junco). Its description in RNAcentral is "lncRNA (ENSJHYG00000005105.1)". Lineage: Eukaryota; Metazoa; Chordata; Aves; Passeriformes; Passerellidae. The record is from RNAcentral.